This 468-nucleotide ribosomal RNA is filed under the name uncultured bacterium. RNAcentral describes it as "partial 16S ribosomal RNA". The stretch from base 13 to 374 matches the Rfam family "Bacterial small subunit ribosomal RNA", at positions 40 to 399 of the family's 1533-position model. The record is from RNAcentral.
GACGAACGCUGGCGGCGUGCUUAACACAUGCAAGUCGAACGGAAAGGCCCUGCUUUUGUGGGGUGCUCGAGUGGCGAACGGGUGAGUAACACGUGAGUAACCUGCCCUUGACUUUGGGAUAACUUCAGGAAACUGGGGCUAAUACCGGAUAGGAGCUCCUGCUGCAUGGUGGGGGUUGGAAAGUUUCGGCGGUUGGGGAUGGACUCGCGGCUUAUCAGCUUGUUGGUGGGGUAGUGGCUUACCAAGGCUUUGACGGGUAGCCGGCCUGAGAGGGUGACCGGCCACCGUAGGGACUGAAUGGGGGCCAAAACCCGUACGGGAGCAGGGUGGGGGAUAAAUUCGACAUGGGGGGAAACCCAAGAGCGCAAACCCCGGGGGGGGGGGAAGGGCUUUGGGGUGUGAAAAGCCUUUGCCCUGGAAGAAGGGGGAGGAGGCGAAAAUGGAAAAGAAGCAACCGGCAACUUAUGA